GUGCUCACUUUGGCAGCACAUAUACUAAAAUUGGAAUGAUACUGAGAUUAGCAUGGCCCCUGCGCAAGGGUGACAGGCAAAUUCAUGAAGUGUUCCAUUAAAAA
Molecule: small nuclear RNA, 104 nt
Organism: Dama dama (fallow deer)
Lineage: Eukaryota; Metazoa; Chordata; Mammalia; Artiodactyla; Cervidae
Source: RefSeq, a predicted model, not a curated record